RNAcentral lists this microRNA precursor (88 nucleotides) under Canis lupus familiaris (dog). RNAcentral describes it as "mir-8799 microRNA precursor family". It matches the Rfam family "mir-8799 microRNA precursor family". Lineage: Eukaryota; Metazoa; Chordata; Mammalia; Carnivora; Canidae. RNAcentral also lists the same sequence under 1 other name. The record is from Rfam by way of RNAcentral.
GGGAGCGCAGGAUCCUGGGCUGUGUCCCCCGCGCCCUGGGCUCCGGGGCCUGUGCUGCUGGAAUCAUGCUCCUGGGGCCAGGGCUCCC